This 385-nucleotide non-coding RNA is filed under the name Skermanella aerolata KACC 11604. Its description in RNAcentral is "bacterial SSU rRNA". It matches the Rfam family "Bacterial small subunit ribosomal RNA", at positions 259 to 661 of the family's 1533-position model. Lineage: Bacteria; Pseudomonadati; Pseudomonadota; Alphaproteobacteria; Rhodospirillales; Azospirillaceae. The record is from RNAcentral.
AACGGCCUACCAAGGCAACGAUCCUUAGCUGGUCUGAGAGGAUGAUCAGCCACACUGGGACUGAGACACGGCCCAGACUCCUACGGGAGGCAGCAGUGGGGAAUAUUGGACAAUGGGCGCAAGCCUGAUCCAGCAAUGCCGCGUGAGUGAUGAAGGCCUUCGGGUUGUAAAGCUCUUUCGCACGCGACGAUGAUGACGGUAGCGUGAGAAGAAGCCCCGGCUAACUUCGUGCCAGCAGCCGCGGUAAUACGAAGGGGGCUAGCGUUGUUCGGAAUUACUGGGCGUAAAGGGCGCGUAGGCGGUACUUCAAGUCAGGCGUGAAAGCCCCGGGCUCAACCUGGGAACCGCGCUUGAGACUGGAGAACUAGAGUUCGGGAGAGGAUGG